This 3036-nucleotide ribosomal RNA is filed under the name Triticum aestivum (bread wheat). RNAcentral describes it as "partial small subunit ribosomal RNA". Lineage: Eukaryota; Viridiplantae; Streptophyta; Magnoliopsida; Poales; Poaceae. The record is from RNAcentral.
AUGGCGGCGGGAGCCCUCUUCCUCGCCUGCUUCCGCGGCGGCGGCGGCGGUGGCGGCGAGGGGAGCGGCGGCCGCCUGGCGCUGCGCCCGCGGUACGCGCCCGUGCCGCGGCGCACCAAGGCGGCCGCGGUCGCCGGCGAUCUGGAGGCCGCCGCGGGGGCCGCCGAGGAGGAGGAGGAGGAGAAGGUGGUGUUGUUCGCGGUGACCGGCAUGACCUGCGCCGCGUGCGCCGGGUCGGUGGAGAAGGCCGUCAAGCGGCUCCCCGGCAUCCACGACGCCGCCGUCGACGUCCUCGGCUGCCGCGCGCAGGUCGCCUUCUACCCGGCAUUCGUCUCGGAGGAAAAAAUUAGGGAAACCAUUGAAGAUGUUGGUUUCGGAGCUAAACUGAUCGACGAGGAGCUUAAGGAAAAGAGCAUUCUAGUAUGCAGGCUGCACAUAAAAGGAAUGACCUGCACGUCUUGUGCAAAUACAGUUGAAUCCGCCUUGCAAGCUGUUCCAGGGGUUCAGAGAGCUUCCGUUGCAUUGGCUAUUGAAGAGGCGGAAAUCCGUUAUAAUCGGAGGGUUGUUGCUGCUAUCCAACUAGUCAAUGCAGUUGAAGAAUCUGGCUUUGAAGCAAUACUGGUCACCGCAGGAGAAGAUCGGAGCAGGAUAGACCUCAAAGUUGAUGGCAUUCUCAAUGAGAGAUCAGUAAUGAUAGUGAAAAGUUCUGUCCAAGCUCUUCCUGGUGUGGAAGACAUAAAAAUUGAUACCGAGCUCCAAAAGAUAACCAUCUCUUACAAGCCUGACCAAACAGGUCCACGAGACCUCAUUGAAGUCAUCGAGUCAGCUGGAUCUGGUCAUAUUGCUGUAUCAAUAUAUCCGGAAGCCGAUGGAAGAGAGCAGCAUAGAAAUGGGGAGAUCACGCGGUACAGGCAGUCCUUUUUGUGGAGCUUACUGUUCACAAUUCCAGUGUUCCUAACCUCCAUGGUGUUCAUGUACAUCCCAGGGCUGAAGGAGGGGCUGGACAAAAAGGUUGUCAACAUGAUGAGCAUUGGUGAACUAUUGCGGUGGAUUUUGUCAACUCCUGUCCAGUUUGUAAUUGGCCGCAAAUUUUACACUGGUUCUUACAAGGCAAUGUGUCAUGGCUCACCGAACAUGGAUGUGCUCAUUGCUCUGGGGACCAACACAGCGUACUUCUACUCAGUUUACUCGGUUCUCCGAGCUGCCACUUCUGAGAAUUAUAUGUCAACUGAUUUUUUUGAGACAAGUUCCAUGCUCAUAUCAUUUAUCCUUCUUGGAAAAUACCUCGAGAUCUUGGCAAAAGGAAAGACCUCUGAGGCUAUUGCCAAGCUGAUGGAUCUUGCACCAGAAACUGCAACUGUGCUGAUAUACGACAGCGAAGGGAAUGUUGUAAGCGAGAAAGAGAUCGACAGUCGGUUGAUUCAGAAAAAUGAUGUGAUCAAAGUCAUACCUGGUGGAAAAGUUGCUUCCGAUGGAUUUGUUAUUUGGGGCCAGAGCCAUGUGAAUGAAAGCAUGAUCACCGGAGAAUCACGGCCCGUGGCAAAGAGGAAGGGCGACACUGUGAUUGGAGGGACGGUGAACGAGAAUGGUGUCCUCCAUGUCAGGGCAACAUUUGUUGGAUCUGAGAGCGCCCUGGCACAGAUUGUAAGACUGGUAGAGUCAGCCCAAAUGGCAAAAGCUCCUGUACAGAAGUUUGCUGAUCAAAUCUCUAAAGUCUUUGUCCCCCUGGUCAUCCUUCUUUCUUUGCUUACUUGGCUUACAUGGUUCUUAGCUGGGAGGUUUCAUGGCUACCCUAGCUCGUGGAUACCAUCUUCCAUGGAUAGCUUUCAGCUAGCUCUUCAGUUUGGGAUAUCGGUUAUGGUGAUCGCCUGCCCUUGUGCACUGGGACUUGCAACUCCAACUGCUGUGAUGGUUGCAACUGGAGUCGGUGCCUCGCAAGGUGUUCUGAUCAAGGGCGGGCAAGCUCUGGAGAGUGCGCAGAAGGUGGACUGCAUUGUUUUCGACAAGACAGGAACACUAACCAUUGGAAAGCCUAUUGUCGUCAAUACCAGGCUCUUUAAAAACAUGGUCCUACGUGAAUUCUAUGACUAUGUUGCAGCAGCAGAGGUCAACAGUGAGCAUCCGCUAGCAAAAGCCGUAGUGGAGCAUGCCAAGAACUUUCACUCGGAAGAAACCCAUAUCUGGCCUGAAGCAAGGGAUUUCAUUUCAGUCACCGGACACGGUGUCAAGGCAAAGAUCAGCGACAGCAGUGUCAUUGUGGGCAACAAGAGCUUUAUGCUGUCGUUAGACAUUGAUGUCCCCGUGGAAGCUUCAGAGAUCCUCAUGGAAGAGGAAGAGAAGGCACACACAGGGAUCAUCGUGGCCAUGGAUCAAGAAAUAGUCGGCAUAAUCUCUGUGUCUGAUCCGAUAAAACCGAACGCCCAUGAAGUGAUAUCAUACCUCAAGUCAAUGAAGGUGGAGUGCAUAAUGGUGACCGGGGACAACUGGGGAACCGCCAACGCCAUCGGCAAAGAGGUUGGCAUCGAAAACAUCAUAGCCGAAGCGAAACCAGAGCAGAAGGCUGAGAAGGUGAAGGAGCUUCAGGAUACAGCCACGCAUCCACUCACCGCCUUUAAAUCUUUUGAUCGAUCACUGCAGCUGUCUGGCAAAACCGUCGCAAUGGUUGGCGACGGGAUCAACGACUCGCCGGCGCUGGUGGCGGCCAACGUCGGGAUGGCCAUCGGCGCGGGCACGGACGUGGCCAUCGAGGCGGCGGACAUCGUGCUCAUGAAGAGCAACCUGGAGGACGUGAUCACGGCCAUCGACCUGUCCAGGAAGGCCUUCUUCCGCAUACGGAUGAACUACGUGUGGGCCCUGGGAUACAACAUCAUCGGCAUCCCGAUCGCCGCGGGCGUGCUGUUCCCGUCGACCCGGUUCCGGCUGCCGCCGUGGGUCGCCGGCGCCGCCAUGGCCGCGUCCUCCGUCAGCGUCGUCUGCUGGUCCCUCCUGCUGAGGUACUACAAGAGGCCGUUGAUCACACAGGAGCGGCAGGCAUAG